This 1705-nucleotide long non-coding RNA is filed under the name Acyrthosiphon pisum (pea aphid). RNAcentral describes it as "uncharacterized LOC107885124". It matches the Rfam family "Eukaryotic small subunit ribosomal RNA", at positions 277 to 1388 of the family's 1831-position model. Lineage: Eukaryota; Metazoa; Arthropoda; Insecta; Hemiptera; Aphididae. The record is from RNAcentral.
UCUCCGUACCGGCGACGCAUCUUUCAAAUGUCUGCCUUAUCAACUGUCGAUGGUAGGUUCCAUGCCUACCAUGGUGGUAACGGGUAACGGGGAAUCAGGGUUCGAUUCCGGAGAGGGAGCCUGAGAAACGGCUACCACAUCCAAGGAAGGCAGCAGGCGCGCAAAUUACCCACUCCCGGAACGGGGAGGUAGUGACGAAAAAUAACGAUACGGGACUCAUCCGAGGCCCCGUAAUCGGAAUGAGAACACUUUAAAACCUUUAAACGAGGAUCAAUUGGAGGGCAAGUCUGGUGCCAGCAGCCGCGGUAAUUCCAGCUCCAAUAGCGUAUAUUAAAGUUGUUGCGGUUAAAAAGCUCGUAGUCGGAUCUGUGUCUGGACGGUGCCGGACCACCCUGGCGGUCCGUCGUGUCGCGGCCGGCCGUGUCGCGGGACCACGUGUCCCGUCGGCGCGGUCGCCGUCGCGCUCGUCAGCCGUCUCGGGGUGUUAGUUACCGGCACGUCGGCCGGACGUAUUGUCGGCAGGCGGACACGUGUCUCGUGCUUCCGGCGCGCCGCGCGGCCACGCGUCGCGCGGCCGUCGGUGUUCGACGACGGCGGCCGCCUACUCCAAUCUUGCUGCGCGGUGCUCUUCACCGAGUGCCGUCGGCGGGCCGACACGUUUACUUUGAACAAAUUAGAGUGCUCAAAGCAGGCUCGAAUCUGGCGGGGCGGCUUCACGGCCGUCUCGUCAAAAGGCCCUGAAUACUGGUCGCAUGGAAUAAUGGAACAAGACCUCGGUCCCGCGCAUCUCCGCCCUUCGCGGGCGCGCGAAAUCGCCCUCCGGGGCGUUUCCGUGCGCGGGCCGCCGGGGCCGCGGGCGCCAGUCGCCCGCGCGUCCCGCCGGGCCGGGUUUUCGGGACCGGAGGUAAUGAUCAACAGAGACGGGCGGGGGCAUUCGUACCGAGACGUUAGAGGUGAAAUUCUUGGAUCGUCUCGAGACGAACUGACGCGAAAGCAUUUGCCAAGUACGUUCUCGUAUGAUCAAGAACGAAAGUUAGAGGUUCGAAGGCGAUCAGAUACCGCCCUAGUUCUAACUGUAAACGAUGCCAGCUAGCGAUCCGCCGGCGUUUCAUUAACGACCCGGCGGGCAGCUUCCGGGAAACCGAAGCUUUUCGGUUCCGGGGGAAGUAUGAUUGCAAAGUUGAAACUUAAAGGAAUUGACGGAAGGGCACCACCAGGAGUGGAGCCUGCGGCUUAAUUUGACUCAACACGGGAAACCUCACCAGGCCCGGACACCGGAAAGAUUGACAGAUUGAGAGCUCUUUCUUGAUUCGGUGGGUGGUGGUGCAUGGCCGUUCUUAGUUGGUGGAGCGAUCUGUCUGGUUAAUUCCGAUAACGAACGAGACUCUGUCCUGCUAACUAGGCGGGUAAACCCGGGUCGGCGUGUGCGCGGCGCUGGCGGUUUCGGCCGUCAGUGUUCGCGUACCCGUCGGCUCGGCCCGGUAUCCCCGAACGCGUUCGCCCGUCGUCCACGGCGGUCGUCGGGCGCGGCCGCGCCAUCCGCGUCCCGGCGUUCGGCGGGCGUAUGUCGGCCGGGGGGCAACCUCCGGUCGGCCUGCGUCCGUCGUGCGUCGGGCUCCGUGGUGAAGCGCGCCGUGUUCGCGGCCGUCGCCGGCGGAUCACGAUACGUUACUAGGGCUACCGCCGGCUCCCAGGAGCUUAAACU